RNAcentral lists this ribosomal RNA (468 nucleotides) under uncultured bacterium. RNAcentral describes it as "partial 16S ribosomal RNA". It matches the Rfam family "Bacterial small subunit ribosomal RNA", at positions 28 to 507 of the family's 1533-position model. The record is from RNAcentral.
GACGAACGCUGGCGGCGUGCUUAACACAUGCAAGUCGAACGGAAAGGCCCUGCUUUUGUGGGGUGCUCGAGUGGCGAACGGGUGAGUAACACGUGAGUAACCUGCCCUUGACUUUGGGAUAACUUCAGGAAACUGGGGCUAAUACCGGAUAGGAGCUCCUGCUGCAUGGUGGGGGUUGGAAAGUUUCGGCGGGUGGGGAUGGACUCGCGGCUUAUCAGCUUGUUGGUGGGGUAGUGGCUUACCAAGGGUUUGACGGGUAGCCGGCCUGAGAGGGUGACCGGGGUCAAUGGGACUGAGAUACGGACCAGACGCCAACGGGAGGCAGCAGGGGGGAGUAUUGCACAAUGGGCGGAAGCCUGAUGCAGCGACGCCGCGGGUGGGAUGACGGCCUGCGGGUUGUAAACCGCUUUCGCCUGUGACGAAGCGGGAGUGACGGUAAUGGGUAAAGAAGCACCGGCUAACUACGUG